UUGACCUCUUCACUGUGCUAAUAUUAUAUGCUAAUUAUGUUCAUUUGUAGUGUUGACCUCUUCACUGUGCUAAUAUUAUAUGCUAAUUAUGUUCAUUUGUAGUGUUGACCUCUUCACUGUGCUAAUAUUAUAUGCUAAUUAUGUUCUGACCCACAGACUUUAACUCAGAAAACAAUUGUCCCGAAGCCAAACCUAGUUGACGAACCCUGUUUUAUAGUAUUCCAUGGCCUUUACUGGCCAACUGCUGUUAUGGUUAUGAUAUACUAUGGUGUUGUGUCACUAGACUUUGACCAGAUAUUAUUACAUCCAAAGAUCAACUGAACCUAGAAUAUAGAUACAGAGACACUUGUCAUCAGGAAGGUGAUCUCUCAGCACAACGGAAAAUAUCUCAAUGACUUGACAUGUUCUGGUUGUGAAUUCAGGCUACAAGGGGUCAGUUCUCUAAAAUGAGUCUCUCUGGGGAGAGAGAGGAGGGGGGCCCUGCCUCUAAAAUGAGACUCUCUGGGGAACAUGACACCAAAGCUAAGAGUCCAAUCAAGCAGGAGAGACCAGCCUCCCCUGUUCCCAGCUGUGUGUCCAUGAAGAGUGAUAAGUCUAUGGGUGACCCUAUAUACUUUAGAGAGGGAGACUUUUCUACUGAACAAAGAAACCAACAGGAGAGAUCAGAGUCAGAGAUUCUCAGUGGUCAGUCUUCCC
This is a long non-coding RNA of Oncorhynchus kisutch (coho salmon), 696 nucleotides long. RefSeq lists it as uncharacterized. Lineage: Eukaryota; Metazoa; Chordata; Actinopteri; Salmoniformes; Salmonidae. The transcript has 4 exons. The record is from RefSeq and is a predicted model, not a curated record.